CCUACGGGAGGCAGCAGUGGGGAAUAUUGGACAAUGGGCGAAACCCUGAUCCAGCGACGCCGCGUGAGGGAAGAAGUAUUUCGGUACGUAAAGCUCUAUCAGCAGGAAAGAAAAUGACGGUACCUGACUAAGAAGCACCGGCUAACUACGUGCCAGCAGCCGCGGGAAUACGUCGUGGGCAAGCGUGAUCCGGAAUUACGGGGUGGAAGGGGAGCGUAGACGGCAGCGCAAGUCUGGAGCGAAAUGCCUGGGCCCAACCCCGGAACUGCUCUGGAAACUGGGAAGCUGGAGUGCGGGAGAGGUAAGCGGAAUGCCUGGUGUAGCGGUGAAAGGCGGAGAGAUCAGGAGGAACAGCGGGGGCGAAGGCGGCUUACUGGCGUGUAACUGACGUUGAGGCUCGAAGGCGUGGGGAGCAAACAGGAUUAGAUACCCGGGUAGUC
This 440-nucleotide ribosomal RNA is filed under the name uncultured bacterium. Its description in RNAcentral is "partial 16S ribosomal RNA". It matches the Rfam family "Bacterial small subunit ribosomal RNA", at positions 338 to 795 of the family's 1533-position model. The record is from RNAcentral.